Molecule: ribosomal RNA, 269 nt
Filed under: uncultured bacterium
Lineage: Bacteria
Description: partial 16S ribosomal RNA
Rfam family: Bacterial small subunit ribosomal RNA
Source: RNAcentral
AAGAUGGCGACCGGCGCACGGGUGAGUAACACGUAUCCAACCUGCCGAUAACUCUGGAAUAGCCUUUCGAAAGAAAGAUUAAUACCGGAUAGUAUACGAAUAUCGCAUGAUAUUUUUAUUAAAGAAUUUCGGUUAUCGAUGGGGAUGCGUUCCAUUAGUUUGUUGGCGGGGUAACGGCCCACCAAGACUACGAUGGAUAGGGGUUCUGAGAGGAAGGUCCCCCACAUUGGAACUGAGACACGGUCCAAACUCCUACGGGAGGCAGCAUG